UCUACUGUCAAAACGAUAUCGUCUGAUCUCACACAAGCGAUAUCUUCUGUGGAACACAGUUUUGGAUGAUAAAUCUUAUGUCCAGGGUCUGAUUGUAUCAAACCUUAUUCACUAAUGGAUGCAUUAAACUCUUUAGGUUCAAUAACAUCUAAUGGGCUGUCUUGAAACUUAUCAUUACCUGAUGAAUUAAGUGUAAAAUGUGUCAUCAGAUUUGGGUAAUCCCGUAUGAUGUUCUCACAAAUCUUUUUUAGCAACUAAGCACUUUUCCUUCCUGAAAUCGGUGAAAGUUUUUAUGAACUCAGGUACUUUAAAUGUUUUCAGGUACAAAGCCCAAUGUUCUUUUAUUAGAUACCAGCAAAUGCAAGGGAUUGGAAGACAUUAUUAGGCAUGUUAAUGUGUGAAUGGUGUUAUUAAGAGUUUGAUAUGACCAGGUUUAAUGGCACAUGCAUUAAUUUAGGCUAAAUGAUAAGUAAUGGGUCAUUUAAGUUGGAAACAACUGGGUCUGGUUGUUAGGCCUGAAAACAUCAUUCAGUCUUUUUGGCAGACUCGUACAAUGCAGAGGGUGUUCUUACUUUCAGGAGGGGUGGCCUAGUGGUUAAAGCGUUGGCUUGUCACGCCGAGAUACCGGUUCGAUUCCCCACAUGGGCACAAUGUGUGAAGCCCAUUUCUGGUGUCCCCGCCCGUGAUAUUGCUGGAAUAUUGCUAAAAGCGGCGUAAAACUAAAACUCAGUCAGUCAGUCAGUCAGUCUUACUUUCAGGUAGCUUGUCAAUGUAAUGACAGAUUAAGUAGUGGUAAGCAUACUCAGGGCACUAAUGAGUUGUCAGUGGCAUUAAUUAUCGUUGCACUUAUUUAUGUGUUAGAUGCGUGAUACGUCGGAACUGACAGUGUAUGGUUCAUGGUAGUUCCAGGCAAUGGCAUUAAUAUACUCAUGGAAACAAAUAAGGGAACACAUGAAAGUACAAGUGUUCCUUGAUUCUUUUCCAGGUUUCUUCACAAGGUAUGUACUGCACUGUGAGUGAAAUUCUGGAAACAAAGGAACACUUGUACUUUCAUGUGUUCCCUUAUUUGUUUCUAUGAGUAUAUGUGCACAGGUGGCCCAGUUGUGUUGAGGUGCCAGAAUUGUCUGUGGAGAGUUAGUCCUUUGGGCUUGAAUCCCUGAUCACACUGAUUAUGUUUCUAGGUUUGUCAACACAACACCUGCUCUAAUCAUGAUAACAGUUUUCACAAAAAGAUUUUGAAUGAUAUAUACUAUGAUCCUGAAUUUGUUGUCAAUUUAAUCUAGUCUGUUAGGUUUACCUUAUGCUUCAGAUGACACUGCUUGAUUUUUUCAAUUCUCUUAAAUAGUUUUGCUUGUCAAACAUGUUAAAGGCAUUAUACCAAUUCAACUUACAUGAUUAGCAUUUACAGUCCACUACUGACAACGUUUGUAACUCAAGUGCAAUUUGGUUUAGCAUUAUUUCAUGUCUCAUGUUGAUUACUUUACCUCUGUAUUAUAUUAUUGCAAUUAAUGAGAGGAAAUCCAAAUGUGCUUCCGCAGUAGUAUCCGUCUAGAACAACAUUGUACUGAAAAUGUGGUCAGGUAAGGUCCAAAACAAAACUGUGUAUUUAACUGUAAACAGAAGCCCCUGAGUCAGCUCUUUUUUCAUACGACACUUUGGCUUUGUCCCCAUCCCAAUAUUGUCUUGAUUUUAUGCAAGAAGAGUAAAUUUUAUUAGCUCCACUAUAGAUAAAAUACUGUCAUUAUCUUAAUUUGAAAGCAAGCUUCUUGGACAUUCUGCAGAUUUCUGUUUUUAAAAGAAAAAGUCGACAUCCCAACCUUCCUUUCCUACGUUUUGUUUGCUGAAAUAGGAAACCCAUAUUUCUUUUGCCUAAUUUAUUGCUAUUGUUAUGGUAUUUGUGAUUGUUAUUUAUGAAACCUGUAGUACCUAGAUAUUAUGCACCCAUAAAGAUCUGGGUUAUUGUUGGUUCUCAGCAACCAAUGCUUGUCAUAAGAGGCGACCAACAGGAUCAGGUGGUUAGACUCACUGCCUGGUUGAUGUAUGUCAUCGAAUCCCACUAGCAGUUGCCAGGAAUAUAGUACUUUACAGUUGCCAAGUUACCAAGUUGUUAUGAUUGGUAAUUACAGUUCAGAUGCUAUUCGUGAACACUGAAUUAUAGAUGUUUCACAUUGAAUGCUUACCUAAUUUCAUUCAAGUCAGAUUCGAUGUGUGUCUGUGUAAAGAUAUGUUAGAUCUAGGGCAGAAUGACAGAUAAUCACCAUGGAGACUUCGAAACUGUUUAUGUGAGUGGUCAGAGUAUUCAAAGCUGCACAUCUGAUAUUUGUUGUUUCAAAAAGGUUUUUCGGCAGCAGGUUUGAAAGAAGAAUGAUAUAAAAAUUGUACAUAAUUUCAUUUAUGCUGCCAUGGUAUCUUCACAAUGUUGUUUUCUUUACUUGUUAUUUGUUCGAACCAAAAUUUCCAAACUGUGGACAAUAACUCGACUGACAACAGUAAACUGAGGAAAUACUGACAUCUGAUUGGCUGAAAAACCCUGCAGGUUUCAUUUUGAUUACAUGGUCAAAUUGCUCAAUCUUCACCUACUGGCACCUCCUUUAAAGGGUACUUCAGAUCCUGUCAGAAAGAGGUAUAGGUUCUGACUUUGAUGAGACUGAAUGGCUUAAUAUUGCGGUUUUCAUCUGUUCAGAGAUACAAAAUUCUCUGUAUCAUAUCAAACAUCUUAUGUAAGACAUUGUUCCUUGUACACUCGGAUCAUGGUUCAUCCCUUCCAUGGAACAUUUAGUGUGUGAUACCAUGCUAAGUUUCAAUUUGUAUAUUUAUACCAUCACAAGGCUGCUGUAUAUAUAGAAAUACAUUCUCAUUAUUCACACAGACAAAAAUCUCAAUCUUCCAUGUCAUGUCAGUGGUCAUUCACUAGAGCAAGGUACCACAAUAGCCCUGGACUGUACGAUAACGCUUGCUGCAAAACAGACCUACCAUUAUCUUUGGCAAUGACUUGAAGAAAAGGAAAACCUUGUAAAAAUAUUUGCUUUUUGUUGCAGCCCAGGCCAAUUUGUCUUGGUCUGGAAAAUGUUUGAUAUUUGUUUGAGCACAGACCAUGUCAUCUUUUUAGCUUUUUCUUGGUCACUAUCAAGGUUGAUGAGGUAGCAUAGCAGAUAUGUUGUGGCUUUUCAUAUGAAAGACAGGUUCAAUUCCACACAAAUGGACAAUGCAUAAAACUUUAUCUUGAUGGCAAUCAGUUUGGAAUAAAGUCAAACGCUGCUAGUUUGAAUUCCAGUGAACCAGAGAAAUGGUUUGACUUAUUGAGGGUUCUUAUUGUCAUAGAAUCAGCUUCUCUGUUGAAGAUGUUGCAUUAAAUGUGUCAUGUUUCACUUUAUACAAAAUCUAAACUGUGUUAAGCUGACUGUGUUAAAACAAUGAUCUUAACUUAUCAGGCUUACAACCUUUAUAGCGCUACUAUCCAUGUGUAGAAUGAGAUCCUUAACAAGAGGUCAUUGUCCAAGAAAAUCCAGAUGUUAUGAGUCAUUUAGCACACUGAAAUUAACCAAUGAAAUUCCUGUGUUUGUCAUCCAUGGUGUGUAUCCUUGAGGAGAGAGACAUGCAUCCAGGUCCAGGGUUAUUGUGUUUGUUUUGAACAUGUUACAGUUGACUCCAGGUUGAUCUGUUCCAUAUGGUGAGCUGUAUGUCCAGGCUGACCAAGUUAUGUUUGUGAAUUUGAUAAAAGGAUACUUGUGUGUAUUGUGUAGUAUUUAUGUGAAAAAUGGCAUUUGAACAAAUUGAUACAAUCAUUACCUCAAAAUAUAGGUUUGAAUGUUUUGAUAGAGGGAAUCUUUUAAAUACAAGAAGUGUUGAAUAGUGGAGUUUAUAUAGAGUCUUAAGAACUUUGAAACUUUGUAAGAUGUAAUUGUUGCUACAUGGAUUACAUUUUGACGAAGUUGUCAUUUUGUUGUCAUUCAAAGAACAAAUUUUGGGGAGUAGAUUUGUCAAAACCCUUUUAUGUGCUUUUAAGUGAUUUCCAAAGAUCAUUAAAUAUCAUCUAAUAAUAGAAAUUAAAUCUUUAAAUGCUUCCUGAACCUAUUCUGUGAACUGUAUAUUUCAACUCUUGAGAUUGGCAUUACUUGAAACAAAACAACAUUCAUUAAUUUUUUUUAUAAAUUUCGAACUUCUUGAAAAGUUGUUAGGAAAGUGUUACAAUUUGUUUUACUCAGAUUGGAAACAUGCUGGAGAUGAAGCUGAUGAUUUUAAUAUUGUGGAACUACUGCAAAUACAGUCAGGUGCCAUUUACAUUGGACACGUUCCAACAAACGAUACUGACAGCCUUUUAAUAAGUUGUGGUCUCAUACCAUGACCCAUGUGUGAGUGAUUGUAUCAUAUUCUUUUCUAAUAUUAGUUUGUAUAUUUUGUACAAAGAAAUGCAUUAGAUGUACAUUAUGAUUUGAACAGUGCUCUAUAUGAUAUGCUUCAAGUAUGUAUUUGUUUAUAUGUAUUUUACUGAUUUUGUCCUGUUGUGAGGAAGGAAGAAACAAAUUGUAUUCUGAGACAAAGGUUUUAAUCUACUUAUAAGACCCUCUUUCAGUGUCUGAACAGCUAGAAUUAUCUGCAUUUGCAGAGUGUUCUCAUGAAUGUUUUUAUUACAUUGUUGCUUGGAGAAUAUAUGCUGCAUUUUAAGUAACACCAAA
Long non-coding RNA from Haliotis rubra (blacklip abalone), 4676 nucleotides. RefSeq lists it as uncharacterized. The record is from RefSeq and is a predicted model, not a curated record. Lineage: Eukaryota; Metazoa; Mollusca; Gastropoda; Lepetellida; Haliotidae. The transcript has 2 exons.